UGUUUUAAAUUGUGACUUUAUUUAGAAAUUGGGUUAAUUUGCCUUGAUUUUAAUACUUAAAUUGGUCUAAAAGAUUGUAGUUAAGUAGUAAUUAAUAUUAUUUAAUUUAUUAAUGGUAGGAUAUAGCGAUGGCUUAAAACUCUAACAAAUAUUUGUGCCAGCAGUUGCGGUUAUACAAAACGAGUUACUUAAUUAUUAUGGUUUUAGCUAGUUAAUUAAUAUUUUUAAAUUUAUAUUGAGAGGUGAAAUUUUAAUAUAAACUUUACAAAAAGAGUAAAUGGGCUAGGAAAUUUAUAGGUAUAAACCAGGAUUAGAUACCCUGCUAUUAUAAUUGUAAUUUAUUAAACCGGAUUAGUAUCAGCUAAGUACUUGAAAAUUAAAAAUCUUGGCGGUAUUUUAACCUACCAGAGGAACCUGUCCUAUAAUUGAUAAUCCACAAUUUAUUAUACUUUUGUUAAUGCUUGUAUAUCGUUGUUGUAAUGAAUAUUCCAUUAGGAUGUUAAUUUUCAUAAGAUAUUAUUUUAUUAUAGAUCAAAUCAAGGUGCAGCUUUUAAAAGAAGAGAUGGGUUACAUUUAUUAAAUUUAAAUUUGUAAAUUUUAUAUCAUUUGGAUUUGGUAGUAAUUUUGUUGAUUAAAACAUAAUGAAAUAGGCUCUUAAAUAUGCACAUAUCGCCCGUCGCUUUCAUAUUUUAUUGAAAUAAGUCGUAACAUAGUAGAUUUAUCGGAAGAUGAAUCUGGAAUGGC
RNAcentral lists this non-coding RNA (744 nucleotides) under Cryptocephalus sp. CRY01. Lineage: Eukaryota; Metazoa; Arthropoda; Insecta; Coleoptera; Chrysomelidae. The record is from RNAcentral.